Molecule: non-coding RNA, 66 nt
Organism: Streptococcus phocae
Lineage: Bacteria; Bacillati; Bacillota; Bacilli; Lactobacillales; Streptococcaceae
Source: Rfam
UGAGAUGUGCAUGAGAUGGUAAAGGUUACGUAAGUAAUAUCGCAGGUUCGAUUCCUGCCAUCUCAA